CCUUGUACACACCGCCCGUCACACCAUGGGAGUGGGUUGCACCAGAAGUAGCUAGUCUAACCUUCGGGGGGACGGUUACCACGGUGUGAUUCAUGACUGGGGUG
This 104-nucleotide ribosomal RNA is filed under the name uncultured bacterium. Its description in RNAcentral is "partial 16S ribosomal RNA". It matches the Rfam family "Bacterial small subunit ribosomal RNA", at positions 1379 to 1482 of the family's 1533-position model. The record is from RNAcentral.